AUCUCUCUCUGGAGAUUGUUCCUUGUGGAGUUUCUCAUGACCCUAUGAUACUGACUACAUGUCUCUUUGCAAAAUACUGAAAUGUGUCUUGUCCAGUUUCCUCAGCUGUUUACCUAGCUGUCUAUAGGACAUCUGUUUCAAGAUAGGCAACAGUCACAUAACAUUUCGCCUUCCUGGAGGAGAAGAGUACAGGAAACUUGAUUUUGAAGCUCAAUAUUGCCAAAGUUUUCUGUUUUUCAUAAAGAUGCUAGACAAUGACAUCAUAUGUACUGUGUGUCCCUUUUCUUUUUGGAUGGAACUUCAUUUCAUGGUGGAAAUGUUGCAGGGGAACGAUUGAUCUUGAAUUUCACUACUGCUGCACUGAGCAAAAGUAACAAAUGGUGUCAUUGCUGAAGCUUGUGAAAAAAUAUUUGUAGUCAUGGUUGUAGCUGGAGCCAAAGUCAGAGGCACUGAACCAGAACCUAGAUAGAACCCAAACUUUUCUAAGGUCACAUAUUAUUUUGUUUAUUUGUUUUAACUUGACUAAGUAUGUUUUUGAUCAUUUAACCAUGGUCUCUGUUCAUAACAGCCCUGUGGGCUUGUAUGAGAAGAACUCUUCACUGUUUUUAAAGCCGAUUUCAAUCAAAUAUUGUUAUUCAGAACAAAUAUUUUCACCUACCACAUCAUGUAACUGCAAUCUGUGCUUCUGCUUUCAAGACUGUUAUAAUGCGUAUAGAUUAAAUGACUGUGGAAAAUUAACAGUGGCCUUAUAUAAAAACAGCUGCAAUCAGGAAAAAAAGACUGAAAACUCCCUAUUUCUUGUAUAUGUAACCAAAGCUGCAUACUGCUGGCUAAAUCUUGGCAUUUGGUCUAAAACUCUCACAGUCUUUCUUAGUUAGAAUUGAAUGCAGACCACUUGCUGCAGGGAUGCGUUCUCAGCUAAAUAGUGUGUGUUGGAAGCAGUUAUUAGCAAAUUUAAUUAAAUCCUGGCAAUUGCUAUAGCAAAUAGAUGCAUUCUUCAUCUGAAAAGCUGCGGCUGUGUUCUGCUCAGCACCUGACACAUGCAUCUCUGAAAUGUUUCCAUGUCAAAUUUAAAUGUAGUGAUCCCUCUGCAGAAGGCCUAAUUUACAAAAUUACUGAACUUUCGCAUUUCUGACCGAAGUCAAGGCAAUCUGUUGCUUAAAAACUAAUCCUAGGUAUUUCCAUCUUGCAAUGGCAAUUCUUUGGGCAGAAAAUAGUUACAUGUGACGUAUGUGUUAUCACUUUUAUUCUUCAUUCUAAAUCACAGUGAAAUUCUUAAUGAAAAAAAAAUAGGGAAUCUUGUAAAACAAAGAUUUGCAAGGCACUGAAUGUCUUCCCAGCUUUACAAGAGAAGCUGUCGUGAGCCAUCUUUUUAAUAACUUUAGGAAAUAUCAUGUUACAAAUGUUACAAACAUAUAUAAAGACACACUAAAUGCUACAUAACAGUUAAGGGUCUAUAUUUUUUAACCUCAAAAGUAAAAGCGCUUUAACCAACCUGCAUUCAUAAAAGAAAUACUGGUAGACCCUUAACUCUUGUGAAGCCAGUGAUUACUGGCAUAAAGAAAAGAAAUAACACAUUCUGAAAUAUAUUACAAUGAAGCUGCAUAGCACAUAGUUUAUAGAUUUAUAAGAUUUAGAUUAAACCGGGAUCUUUUCCUGUGUUUAUCAACAGCAUUAAAAAAAAAACAGUAAGUGAACCUGGAAUACCGCAAACCAAUCAAUAAAGUUUAAAAGCUCCAGUGAAUUUAACCUAUAACAGGUCCUUGUUUGGAGAACAUGCUCAAGAAACACAUGUGCCUUUAAGAGGUCUUGAAAGAAUUUACACCCAUGGACCAUUACCAUUCCCAAACACCCUGCAGCUUUACCAGCCCAACAUGUGCUGACUGUAUAUCACCAUGACCCUUUCACUAAAGCUCUUUUGACUGGAGUGCUUUUAAUACCCACUUUCUCAGCUGAGCUCAGGAGUGAUUUGUUUUACAUGCCACAUUAAUCCUUUCCACAUUUUCUGGAUGAGGCAACCACAAUUCCACUUGUGAGGUGUUUCUAAAACAUAGUUAUAGGAAUAAAGCAGCAGGGUCCCAGACUUGACAACUUCCCUUUGGGCGGCUGACAAAGUGGGCUAUCGGGGCUGGUGCUGGAGCUCGCAGUUGUGCCCGGCAGUGAGGGUGGGCUGCUCUCCGUGGUUAGCAGGAGGCCCAAUUAUUGUUGGCAAUUCAGCCACAAUUAAAACCCUGUAGGGAUCUUCGUAGGUUUAAUGUCCAAUGAAUGCUGAUGCAGAUUAAUAAAAUCCAGCUCUUCUUUUAUAAGCUUAAGAUGAAAUGGAAUAGAGAGAAACAGUUCUGAAAAUAUAAAUCGCAGCUCCGUAAAACCCAAGAAGUUUAUGCCUCACACCUACAUGAUUGGAGGAAAGGAGCUUUUUAUAAAUGGGCAAUUAGUGUUCAGCGUACUGGCUUUUAUUAUGUGGUAAUUUUACAGUUUUCACUUUAAAGACACCCCCCAAAAAAAUCAAAGGCCAAAUGAAUUUCUGUUGUAUGCAUUUAUGAGCUUUCUGCAUUUAUAAUGUUAGCUCAAUGUUACCAAUGUAAGGUUUUGAAAAUUUAGUGUUGUCAACAAGGCUAACAGAGUGGACCAACCAAUUAUAAAACUGUUUUUACAUG
Molecule: long non-coding RNA, 2657 nt
Filed under: Gallus gallus (chicken)
Lineage: Eukaryota; Metazoa; Chordata; Aves; Galliformes; Phasianidae
Description: lncRNA (ENSGALG00010005093.1)
Source: RNAcentral